AUUGAACGCUGGCGGCAGGCCUAACACAUGCAAGUCGAACGAGUGGCGGAUGCGUGAGUAAUGUCUGGGAAACUGCCUGAUGGAGGGGGAUAACUACUGGAAACGGUAGCUAAUACCGCAUACCAUCAGAUGUGCCCUGAUGGGAUUAGCUUGUUUGUGGGUUAACGGCUCUCCAAGGCUACGAUCCCUAGCCGGUCUGAGAGGAUCACAGGCCACACUGGAACGGAGAAACGGGCCAGACUCCUACGGGAGGCAGCAGUGGGGAAUAUUGCACAAUGGGCGAAAGCCUGAUGAAGACAUGCCGCGUGUAGGAAAAAGGCCUGCGGGUUGUAAGGUACUUUCAGCGGGAAGGCGUUACCCGCAGAAGAAGCGCCGGCUAACUCCGUGCCAGCAGCCGCGGUAAUAC
Molecule: ribosomal RNA, 406 nt
Filed under: uncultured bacterium
Lineage: Bacteria
Description: partial 16S ribosomal RNA
Rfam family: Bacterial small subunit ribosomal RNA
Source: RNAcentral